Scleropages formosus (Asian bonytongue) is the source of this 751-nucleotide long non-coding RNA. RefSeq lists it as uncharacterized. The record is from RefSeq and is a predicted model, not a curated record. NCBI's taxonomy places the organism in Eukaryota, Metazoa, Chordata, Actinopteri, Osteoglossiformes, Osteoglossidae. The transcript has 3 exons.
AGCAGUACCAUGGCACCUAAUACAUCAAAGUUGUGAAGAAAUCAAACAUUUCAAAAUGUUUUCUUUGAAAUAUAGAUCUUUGUUAAUUGUAAUUGGUGUGGAUAGCAUGUAAUGCAAUAAAUGUAACAGUUAGAGACCUGCUUAUCCAAUAUAAAAUUUAUAUUGCAGGAAAAUUUGCAGGUAGAACUGAACUGUGUAUUCAUUACUCCGUCCCAUUUUUUGUUAAACUGUCUGCAUGGUGGAGCGAAUGGCAUUAUGGAGUUGUGCAAGGGCUGUUUCAGGAAAUCACAUUAUCUGCCAUGUGAGCAUCUACCAGUGCUAUGCAGCAGCCCACAGGGGAGCCGUGUAUAGCUUCCAGCACGGAGCCAGCAAAUACAGCAUCAGCAGAUGAAGCGAGCCCUUGCGUCCCUGUAUAUGUCCUCACAUUGAACUGCUCACCUCAGUUUCUUUGCAGGAGGUUGCCCUGGAAGAGAUGAGAAAUGCUGACCAAAAAUCACCACCCAUUACCAUCGAACAACAAGAGACCACAGCAGCACACCUGUAGGAAGAGGGGGAAGAGAGCCUCCUGAAACAGCACUUUCAGACAGAAGGGAAGGAACCCAAACAAACCCAAAGGAUGCCAAACACCUAACCACAGGCAACUGCCACACCCAGCCAACCAGCAAACCGCUUUAAAGGUUAAUGACAAAAGUUAUGACUCACCAAACUGGCACGCAUCUCCAGUCAGACCAGUCGGGCACUGACAGACCCC